RNAcentral lists this ribosomal RNA (439 nucleotides) under uncultured bacterium. RNAcentral describes it as "partial 16S ribosomal RNA". It matches the Rfam family "Bacterial small subunit ribosomal RNA", at positions 338 to 795 of the family's 1533-position model. The record is from RNAcentral.
CCUACGGGAGGCAGCAGUGGGGAAUAUUGCAAAUGGGGGAAACCCUGAUGCAGCGACGCCGCGUGAGUGAAGAAGUAAUUCGUUAUGUAAAGCUCUAUCAGCAGGGAAGAAAAUGACGGUACCUGAGCAAGAAGCGCCGGCUAACUACGUGCCAGCAGCGGCGGUAAUACGUAGGGGGCAAGCGUUAUCCGGAUUGACUGGGUGUAAAGGGAGCGUAGACGGCAGUGCAAGUCUGGAGUGAAAGGCGGGGGCUAAACCCACGGACUGCUCUGGAAACGGUACGGCUGGAGUGCAGGAGAGGUGAGUGGAAUUCCUAGUGUAGCGGUGAAAUGCGUAGAUAUAAGGAGGAACACCAGUGGCGAAGGCGGCUUACUGGACUGUAACUGACGUUGAGGCUCGAAAGCGUGGGGAGCAAACAGGAUUAGAUACCCCAGUAGUC